This 217-nucleotide unclassified non-coding RNA is filed under the name Hevea brasiliensis (rubber tree). Lineage: Eukaryota; Viridiplantae; Streptophyta; Magnoliopsida; Malpighiales; Euphorbiaceae. The record is from RNAcentral.
UUGAAAUUGAAAUUUAAAGGCUGCAGGGAUUUCUAUUUAAGAGCCGGGUGAGCAAUUUCGUGCCUGGUAUUCCUUAUUUUUUUGAUAGCACAGGUGAUCCCUAAUAAAAAAAAGCUCGCUUCACUAACAAAGAUAGAAUGAGUAAGAAAGUCGCUUCAAGCUCAGUUAGUCGUGGAGUGAUUUCAGGAGGGUUGGGUUGACGCAAAACGGAUUCGAG